ACAUGCAAGUCGGAUGCGAACGGCGCUUUCGGGCGUUGAGUAGCAUGGCAGACGGGUGAGGAGCGCGUAUCUGACUGGACUCAGGCUGGGGGAUAGUCCCUCGAAAGGGGGUUGAAUACCGCAUGUGCUCGGUGCUGUGAGGGCAUCGAGGAAAGUUGGCCUCUGCGGGCACGCUGAUGGCCUGAGACAGGGAUGCGUCCUAUUAGCUAGCUGGUGGGGUAAGGGCCUACCAGGGCGACGAUGGGUAGCUGGUCUGAGAGGAUGAUCAGCCACACUGGGACUGCGACACGGCCCAGACUCCUACGGGAGGCAGCAGUGGGGAAUUUUGCGCAAUGGGCGCAAGCCUGACGCAGCAACGCCGCGUGCAUGACGACGCCUUUCGAGGUGUAAAGUGCUGUCGACCGGGACGAAGGGGCGAGGGUGAACAGCUUUCGCGCAUGACGGUACCGGUGGAGGAAGCCCCGGCUAACUCCGUGCCAGCAGCCGCGGUAAGACGGAGGGGGCGAGCGUUGUUCGGAAUUACUGGGCGUAAAGCGCGCGUAGGCGGUGCAGCAAGUGGUGCGUGAAAGCCCUCGGCUUAACCGGGGACGGGCGUGCCAAACUGUUGGACUGGAGUGCCGGAGGGGGAGGCGGAAUUCCUGGUGGAGCGGUGAAAUGCGUAGAGAUCAGGAAGAACGUCGGUGGCGAAGGCGGCCUCCUGGACGGACACUGACGCUGAGGUGCGACAGCGUGGGGAGCGAACGGG
RNAcentral lists this ribosomal RNA (745 nucleotides) under uncultured organism. Its description in RNAcentral is "bacterial SSU rRNA". It matches the Rfam family "Bacterial small subunit ribosomal RNA", at positions 53 to 776 of the family's 1533-position model. The record is from RNAcentral.